UACGUAGGUGGCAAGCGUUAUCCGGAUUUACUGGGUGUAAAGGGCGUGUAGGCGGGUCUGCAAGUCAGAUGUGAAAUUCCAGGGCUCAACCCUGGAACUGCAUUUGAAACUGUAGAUCUUGAGUGAUGGAGAGGCAGGCGGAAUUCCGUGUGUAGCGGUGAAAUGCGUAGAUAUACGGAGGAACACCAGUGGCGAAGGCGGCCUGCUGGACAUUAACUGACGCUGAGGCGCGAAAGCGUGGGGAGCAAACAGG
Molecule: ribosomal RNA, 253 nt
Filed under: uncultured bacterium
Lineage: Bacteria
Description: partial 16S ribosomal RNA
Rfam family: Bacterial small subunit ribosomal RNA
Source: RNAcentral